Molecule: unclassified non-coding RNA, 193 nt
Filed under: plant metagenome
Description: partial contains small subunit ribosomal RNA and internal transcribed spacer 1
Rfam family: Eukaryotic small subunit ribosomal RNA (bases 1-46)
Source: RNAcentral
AAGUCGUAACAAGGUUUCCGUAGGUGAACCUGCGGAAGGAUCAUUAAUGAAAUUCAAGGACGCUCUUUUUAGAGGUCCGACCAAUUACAUUUUACCUUUACUCUGUGCACACACUACUCUUUACACCAUUUUUUAACUCUAUAGUUUUAAGAGUGUAAAACAAGUCUCGAAAGAGCAACAUAACAAAACAAAA